UGUUGUUGACCUUGAAAAUUAAAGAUUGUU
RNAcentral lists this non-coding RNA (30 nucleotides) under Mus musculus (house mouse). The record is from RNAcentral. Lineage: Eukaryota; Metazoa; Chordata; Mammalia; Rodentia; Muridae.